GCCGGGCACAGUGGUGGGUGCCUGUAAUCCCAGCUACUCAGGAGGCUGAGGCAGGAGAAUCGCUUGAACCCGGGAAGUGGAGGCUGCAGUGAGCUGAGAUUGUGCCACUGCAUCCCAGCCUGGGUGACAGAGUGAAACUCUGUCUCAA
This 148-nucleotide non-coding RNA is filed under the name Nomascus leucogenys (northern white-cheeked gibbon). The record is from Rfam by way of RNAcentral. Lineage: Eukaryota; Metazoa; Chordata; Mammalia; Primates; Hylobatidae.